CACUCGAUUUUUCGCCUCUCGAAGUUCUUCGCAAACUAAGUCGACGAAUCAAUACCGUUUGGCGUCGGCUUACAAAAUUGAUUUGGCUUGGUGGGUAAUGAUGUCGGAAAUGGUAGGCUAUCAAACAAAAUAGAAAUGGUUAAGUGUGGCUAUAUAGAUAUGGUCCUUCGGGCAACAAGCAAUGCUUUUACAAACCCAAAAUGAAUUUCAAUCACUCUUUUUUUUUUCAAUUUCGAUUUUUUUUUCUUCUUUUUUUUAAUUUCGAAUUUUUUUUUCUU
RNAcentral lists this long non-coding RNA (278 nucleotides) under Gossypium barbadense (sea-island cotton). RNAcentral describes it as "long non-coding RNA (GBAR_LNC016516)". Lineage: Eukaryota; Viridiplantae; Streptophyta; Magnoliopsida; Malvales; Malvaceae. The record is from RNAcentral.